GGGCAUGUGGCGGAACGGUAGACGCUACGGCCUUAGGAGCCGUUGGGGAAACCCGUGGGGGUUCGAAUCCCUCCAUGCCCA
This 81-nucleotide transfer RNA is filed under the name Candidatus Omnitrophota bacterium. RNAcentral's name for it is "tRNA-Leu". It matches the Rfam family "tRNA". From Rfam's summary of the family: Transfer RNA (tRNA) molecules are approximately 80 nucleotides in length. Their secondary structure includes four short double-helical elements and three loops (D, anti-codon, and T loops). Lineage: Bacteria; Pseudomonadati; Candidatus Omnitrophota. The record is from RNAcentral.